This 427-nucleotide ribosomal RNA is filed under the name uncultured bacterium. Its description in RNAcentral is "bacterial SSU rRNA". It matches the Rfam family "Bacterial small subunit ribosomal RNA", at positions 355 to 774 of the family's 1533-position model. The record is from RNAcentral.
UGGGGAAUUUUGGACAAUGGGCGCAAGCCUGAUCCAGCAAUGCCGCGUGCAGGAUGAAGGCCUUCGGGUUGUAAACUGCUUUUGUACGGAACGAAACGGUCUUUUCUAAUACAGAAGGCUAAUGACGGUACCGUAAGAAUAAGCACCGGCUAACUACGUGCCAGCAGCCGCUGUAAUACGUAGGGUGCGUGCGUUAAUCGGAAUUUCUGGGCGUAAAGCGUGCGCAGGCGGUUAUAUAAGCCAGAUGUGAAAUCCCCGGGCUCAACCUGGGAACUGCAUUUGUGAAUGUAUAGCUAGAGUACAGCAGAGGGAGAUGGAAUUCCGCGUGUAGCAGUGAAAUGCGUAGAUAUGCGGAGGAACACCGAUGGCGAAGGCAAUCCCCUGGGCCUGUACUGACGCCCAUGCUCGAAAGCGUGGGGAGCAAACA